GUAUGGGGCAAGCGUUAUCCGGAUUUACUGGGUGUAAAGGGAGCGUAGGCGGCAUGGCAAGUCAGAAGUGAAAGCCUGGGGCUCAACCCCGGAAUUGCUUUUGAAACUGUCAGGCUAGAGUGUCGGAGGGGUAAGCGGAAUUCCUAGUGUAGCGGUGAAAUGCGUAGAUAUUUGGAAGAACACCAAUGGCGAAGGCAGCCCCCUGGGAUGCGACUGACGCUCAUGCACGAAAGCGUGGGGAGCAAACAGGAUUAGAUACCCUGGUAGUCCACGCCCUAAACGAUGUCUACUGGUUGUUGGGGUUUUUUAACCUUGGUAACGAAGCUAACGCGUGAAGUAGACCGCCUGGGGAGU
This 354-nucleotide ribosomal RNA is filed under the name uncultured bacterium. RNAcentral describes it as "bacterial SSU rRNA". It matches the Rfam family "Bacterial small subunit ribosomal RNA", at positions 527 to 881 of the family's 1533-position model. The record is from RNAcentral.